GAUGAACGCUGGCGGCGUGCCUAAUACAUGCAAGUCGAGCGAACAGAUGAGGAGCUUGCUCCUCUGACGUUAGCGGCGGACGGGUGAGUAACACGUGGAUAACCUACCUAUAAGACUGGGAUAACUUCGGGAAACCGGAGCUAAUACCGGAUAAUAUAUUGAACCGCAUGGUUCAAUAGUGAAAGACGGUUUUGCUGUCACUUCUAGAUGGAUCCCGGCCGCAUUAGCUAGUUGGUAAGGUAACGGCUUACCAAGGCAACGAGGCGUAGCCGACCUGAGAGGGUGAUAGGCGACACUGGAACUGAGACACGGUCCAGACUCCUACGGGAGGCAGCAGUAGGGAAUCUUCCGCAAUGGGCGAAAGCCUGACGGAGCAACGCCGCGUGAGUGAUAAAGGUCUUCGGAUCGUAAAACUCUGUUAUUAGGGAAGAACAAAUGUGUAAGUAACUAUGCACGUCUUGACGGUACCUAAUCAGAAAGCCACGGCUAACUACGUG
Molecule: ribosomal RNA, 497 nt
Filed under: uncultured bacterium
Lineage: Bacteria
Description: partial 16S ribosomal RNA
Rfam family: Bacterial small subunit ribosomal RNA
Source: RNAcentral